Molecule: ribosomal RNA, 453 nt
Filed under: uncultured bacterium
Lineage: Bacteria
Description: partial 16S ribosomal RNA
Rfam family: Bacterial small subunit ribosomal RNA
Source: RNAcentral
CUACGGGAGGCUGCAGUGGGGAAUUUUGCGCAAUGGGGGAAACCCUGACGCAGCAACGCCGCGUGAAGGAUGAAGGCCUUUGGGUCGUAAACUUCUGUCAGAGGGGAAGAAAUACUCGCAAGAGUGCUGACGGUACCCUCAAAGGAAGCACCGGCUAACUCCGUGCCAGCAGCCGCGGUAAUACGGAGGGUGCAAGCGUUGUUCGGAAUUAUUGGGCGUAAAGAGCAUGUAGGCGGACUGUUAAGUCUGGUGUGAAAGCCCGGGGCUCAACCCCGGAAGUGCAUUGGAUACUGGCAGUCUUGAGUAUGGGAGAGGAAAGUGGAAUUCCGAGUGUAGGAGUGAAAUCCGUAGAUAUUCGGAGGAACACCAGUGGCGAAGGCGGCUUUCUGGACCAAUACUGACGCUGAGAUGCGAAAGCGUGGGGAGCAAACAGGAUUAGAUACCCUGGUAGUC